This 788-nucleotide ribosomal RNA is filed under the name Xiphinema sp. JPN-HS-09. Its description in RNAcentral is "LSU rRNA". It matches the Rfam family "Eukaryotic large subunit ribosomal RNA", at positions 367 to 944 of the family's 3401-position model. The record is from RNAcentral. Lineage: Eukaryota; Metazoa; Nematoda; Enoplea; Dorylaimida; Longidoridae.
AAAAGAACUUUGAAGAGAGAGUUCAAAAGGGCGUGAAACCGCUUAGAAGAAAACGGACGGAACCGUCUGACGCCCUCGGGAAUCAGUCGAACGACGCGCGAACGCGUCUCGAUCGUCGGAGCGUAAAAGUCCGGCUCGAGGCGUCUAGUAGUCGCGUUCGUAAGGCGCAUUUCUCGAGGGUUAGCGCCGCGACCGAUGCGAACGGCCGACGACGCCGUCGAGUUGAGGUCGAACGCCCUUCGCGGGUAUUCGUAACCAGCUCGUUCGGUAUAUUGUCGGAUCUCUAAUAGCAUCGAGCGAAUACUAUCCAAUACGUCGGCGUAAAACGCUCGACGAGCGGCGGAGACUCGGCCAGUCGUUCGGUACCUGCUCGCAGGUGCUCGUUCGGCGCGAGGUCGUUUCCCGAUGUCGCCGUCGACGCUACCGACGUUUAGGCGUCCGCGGCGUCCGAGUCGGUCACCCGUCCGACCCGUCUUGAAACACGGACCAAGGAGUCUAACGUACGCGCGAGUUAAUGGGUGGAAAACCCAUAAGCGCAAUAAAAGUAAAAGUCGUCCUAAGGCGGCCGAGGUACGAUCCUAGACUACGCGUCUAGGCGCAGUACCGUCCCGUCCCGACCGCACGUCGGUAGGGCGGAGAUUGAGCGCAUACGUUGGGACCCGAAAGAUGGUGAACUAUGCCUGAGCAGAGCGAAGCCAGAGGAAACUCUGGUGGAGGUUCGUAGCGGUUCUGACGUGCAAAUCGAUCGUCAGACUUGGGUAUAGGGGCGAAAGACUAAUCGAACCAUC